GUACCGUGGCAAGCGUUGUCCGGAUUUAUUGGGUUUAAAGGGUGCGUAGGCGGCCCUGUAAGUCAGUGGUGAAAUAUCUCAGCUUAACUGAGAGGGUGCCAUUGAUACUGCGGGGCUUGAGUACAGAUGAGGUAGGCGGAAUUGACGGUGUAGCGGUGAAAUGCAUAGAUAUCGUCAAGAACACCGAUAGCGAAGGCAGCUUACCAAGCUGUAACUGACGCUGAGGCACGAAAGUGUGGGGAUCAAACAGGAUUAGAUACCCUGGUAGUCCACACUGUAAACGUUGAUGACUCGAUGUUGGCGAUACACAGCCAGCGUCCAAGAGCAAUCGUUAAGUCAUCCACCUGGGGAGUACGCCGGCAACGGUG
This 368-nucleotide ribosomal RNA is filed under the name uncultured bacterium. RNAcentral describes it as "bacterial SSU rRNA". It matches the Rfam family "Bacterial small subunit ribosomal RNA", at positions 526 to 896 of the family's 1533-position model. The record is from RNAcentral.